GACGAACGCUGGCGGCGUGCCUAAUACAUGCAAGUCGAGCGAGCGGAACUAACAGAUUUACCUCGGUAAUGACGUUAGGAAAGCGAGCGGCGGAUGGGUGAGUAACACGUGGGGAACCUGCCCCAUAGUCUGGGAUACCACUUGGAAACAGGUGCUAAUACCGGAUAAGAAAGCAGAUCGCAUGAUCAGCUUUUAAAAGGCGGCGUAAGCUGUCGCUAUGGGAUGGCCCCGCGGUGCAUUAGCUAGUUGGUAAGGUAAAGGCUUACCAAGGCGAUGAUGCAUAGCCGAGUUGAGAGACUGAUCGGCCACAUUGGGACUGAGACACGGCCCAAACUCCUACGGGAGGCAGCAGUAGGGAAUCUUCCACAAUGGACGCAAGUCUGAUGGAGCAACGCCGCGUGAGUGAAGAAGGUUUUCGGAUCGUAAAGCUCUGUUGUUGGUGAAGAAGGAUGGAGGUAGUAACUGGCCUUUAUUUGACGGUAAUCAACCAGAAAGUCACGGCUAACUACGUG
Molecule: ribosomal RNA, 512 nt
Filed under: uncultured bacterium
Lineage: Bacteria
Description: partial 16S ribosomal RNA
Rfam family: Bacterial small subunit ribosomal RNA
Source: RNAcentral